UGCCAGCAGCCGCGGUAAGACGAGGGGUCCAAGCGUUGUUCGGAAUCAUUGGGCGUAAAGCGGGUGUAGGUGGAUUUAUAAGUCAGAAGUGAAAGCCCCGGGCUUAACCCGGGAAGUGCUUUUGAUACUGUAGAUCUUGAGUGUGGGAGAGGAUAGCAGAAUUCCUGGUGUAGUGGUGAAAUACGUAGAGAUCAGGAGGAAUAUCGGUGGGGAAGCCGGCGGUCUGGCCCAACACUGACACUCAGACCCCACAGCGUGGGCAGCAAACAGGAUUAGAUC
Molecule: ribosomal RNA, 279 nt
Filed under: uncultured bacterium
Lineage: Bacteria
Description: partial 16S ribosomal RNA
Rfam family: Bacterial small subunit ribosomal RNA
Source: RNAcentral